CCUACGGGAGGCUGCAGUCGAGAAUCAUUCACAAUGGGGGAAACCCUGAUGGUGCGACGCCGCGUGGGGGAAUGAAGGUCUUCGGAUUGUAAACCCCUGUCAUGUGGGAGCAAAUUAAAAAGAUAGUACCACAAGAGGAAGAGACGGCUAACUCUGUGCCAGCAGCCGCGGUAAUACAGAGGUCUCAAGCGUUGUUCGGAAUCACUGGGCGUAAGGGGUGCGUAGGCUGUUUCGUAAGUCGUGUGUGAAAGGCGCGGGCUCAACCCGCGGACGGCACAUGAUACUGGGAGACUAGAGUAAUGGAGGGGGAACCGGAAUUCUCGGUGUAGCAGUGAAAUGCGUAGAUAGCGAGAGGAACACUCGUGGCGAAGGCGGGUUCCUGGACAUUAACUGACGCUGAGGCACGAAGGCCAGGGGAGCGAAAGGGAUUAGAUACCCGUGUAGUC
Molecule: ribosomal RNA, 446 nt
Filed under: uncultured bacterium
Lineage: Bacteria
Description: partial 16S ribosomal RNA
Rfam family: Bacterial small subunit ribosomal RNA
Source: RNAcentral